Molecule: ribosomal RNA, 253 nt
Filed under: uncultured bacterium
Lineage: Bacteria
Description: partial 16S ribosomal RNA
Rfam family: Bacterial small subunit ribosomal RNA
Source: RNAcentral
UACGUAGGUGGCAAGCGUUGUCCGGAAUUAUUGGGCGUAAAGCGCGCGCAGGCGGUUCCUUAAGUCUGAUGUGAAAGUCAAAGGCUCAACCUUUGAAAGCCGAUGGAUACUGCAGGGCUAGAGUACGGAAGAGGCGAGUGGAAUUCCUGGUGUAGCGGUGGAAUGCGUAGAUAUCGGGAGGAACACCAGUGGCGAAGGCGGCUUCCUGGACCGGUUCUGACACUGAGGAGCGAAAGCGUGGGGAGCGAGCCGG